This 1362-nucleotide long non-coding RNA is filed under the name Androctonus crassicauda. Lineage: Eukaryota; Metazoa; Arthropoda; Arachnida; Scorpiones; Buthidae. The record is from RNAcentral.
GUCUGAGAAAGAGAGCUUCUCAUUGGAUGUGCAGUUGCGACCAUCGCUACAAGAACAAACUUUUUGUUGACCAGUGACCGGCUCGGAGGGGGUUUACGAGUUAGGGAGAAGAGCCAGUUCCGGUCGUGGCCGCGGCUAAAAAUCGCAAUGUGUGACCGACGCUUUACACACACACACAAAAUAUAUAUAUAUAGCCCGAUUAAAUCGAUGUAAGGAGCGUGUCAAAUGGACCCUGAAACAAUGGAAGUCGGUCGUUUUUCGGAUGAGAAGAAAUGCAAUCCGUGUGGUUCGGAUGAGGAACGAAGGAUUGGCCGUAGAAGUGGUGGAAAUUGCCAUUUGGACUGUAAUGUCUACAUUGAAAAUCGCUACCGGCCAAAUUUAUGGGGGGGGUGCGUUUUGUAUGGCGAAAUAAAUCAUCCGUCGUACCAAACUCCCGCAGUUUAUAAACAGUUCAUUAAAUACUAAUAGAUACUUGGCUAUAUUAGAAGAGAAAUGGCUGCCAAUCAUUCAGCGUUUGAACCCACCGAGUAACCGCAUCUUUCGGGAUGACACUACCGAUCAUCGGUAAGUAAUGGAAAAGCAUAAAUAGGCACUCUGUAAUUAGUUGGAUUUCUUUUUUUUGCCUUAAAGAUUCGACAGUUAAUUAGUUAAACUCGUUACAGGUGGAAAAAAUAGUUGGAAAACAAUCCUUUUACCACUCUUAACCGACCAGGGAACAACCGGACCCGAAUUCUAAAGAGAACUGUCACAUUUGGUGGAAGUUGCGGUUACCAGAAAGAAUCCGAAGAGAACUUCGGGAAGUCAUAAGUCGUGUUUGAAACCAGAGACUACCAGUCGAUUAUCUCGGGAACUCGAUCCGGUCGAUAAUUAGCCAUACACGGACACUCUUUCCCGCCGGUUUGGAAUGUCUCCCAGUCUCGCAGGAAAACGCGUAUGUUAGCGCUCAACCACGGGCCAAACUGGGCGUGUAUAACUCCGUACACCAUUCCAUGCGACACCAAAGCGGGUGUAAACUUUGGUGGUUAGUGCGUGCCAGGCUUACACGUUUCGAGUUAGACUUGGCUGUGAAUUUUCAUUCUACUAGAAAACUCAUUUUCGUUGGCAGAGUUCGUGUUGAUAUCUAAAAAAAUGAAUGAUAUAAAAAAUAAAUAAAAUAUUAUUCGUAUGGUUACAUUUGAUUAAAGUAUUAUAAUAACCACGAUAUAUAAUGUCAACUGGCCAAUGAUAUAAUAAAUAAAAAUUUAAUAUUUAAAAGUAUUGGUUUAUUGUAUAGGCAUUUGUAAUAUUUUUAGAUAUUUUCCAAAGGAUUUAUUACAUACAUUACCUAGUUCAUUUUAUAAAUUUUUUUUAUUUAUAUCAAAA